This 827-nucleotide long non-coding RNA is filed under the name Fukomys damarensis (Damara mole-rat). Its description in RNAcentral is "lncRNA (ENSFDAG00000023183.1)". Lineage: Eukaryota; Metazoa; Chordata; Mammalia; Rodentia; Bathyergidae. The record is from RNAcentral.
UUUCAUGUCUUCUCAUUUCAUCAGAUACAUUCUGGUGUGCCUCUGUUGAGGCAACUCUGCUUGCCCAGUGGGCUUCACUUCUCACCAAGCCUCAGAGAUGCCUUUUCUCUGCUGUUCACCACUGCACCGAUUCCUGGGUUCAGAAUGGCAGCCAUCUGGAUCCCUGCGCAGUGCUAUUGUCCACAUGGAGUUCCUGCUGGGGUCUUGGGGACAAGUCUAUGCUCUGGAAACGUGAAACAGAACUCUGGACUUCGUGUGAUACAGGGGAGCUCUGCAGUGCUUACUAGCCUCAGAUGCAGAACAUCUGCCUGUGGGCUGGAGACCAGAAUAAUACAGUCAAGGGCUUGGAGUCGACGGCAACGUCCCUUACAAGUCUGUAUCCAGAGGCCAAAAGAUCUGCGAUGGGAGACCAAAGGAUGAGAGAUCUGCACUGGAAGCCAGGAGAUGAUGUCCAAGAUAAAAGCAAGAAUUGAAGAUCCCCCAAGAAAGAAAACAGCCGAUCUCCCUUGAAGAUAAACCUCCACAAAAUAAAGCAAUUUCCCCAGGAAGAUCACCAUGAAAUCCUCCCCUCCCGUUCUCCUUUCAGGCUGUUUGACAACAAACCUCAGGCGUUUUCCACUUCCGGAACCAAGCUGACACAAUUCAGCUGUGCACUCUCAUUCAAGUUGACCAUUAAUUCAUCCAUCACUCACUACAUUCAGAAUAAUCUUUAAUGCUGACAUUUUUAUAAUGCUGCUGUUUUUCUUGCCUUACUCUAUACAAAUCCAGUAGAUAUAUUUUAAUAAGAAAUUCUUAUAAAUCUGAAAAAUAUAUUACUCUUCCAGGAA